GGCGGAUGUAGCCAAGUGGAAUCAGGCAGU
This 30-nucleotide transfer RNA is filed under the name Euphorbia glyptosperma. RNAcentral's name for it is "partial tRNA-His". Lineage: Eukaryota; Viridiplantae; Streptophyta; Magnoliopsida; Malpighiales; Euphorbiaceae. The record is from RNAcentral.